Long non-coding RNA from Triticum aestivum (bread wheat), 714 nucleotides. RefSeq lists it as uncharacterized. The record is from RefSeq and is a predicted model, not a curated record. The transcript has 2 exons. Lineage: Eukaryota; Viridiplantae; Streptophyta; Magnoliopsida; Poales; Poaceae.
CAGGUUGGUUGCAAGAGGAGCCACUAUAAGUAGAGCCUACGUCCUACCACAUCUCCUGAGAAACCCAACCCAACCCAACGAGAGCUAAUAUCCAUCCUUGCAGCUAACCGAUCAGAUCAUGGCCAUGGGGACUAGGCGCGCCGCUCUCUGCUUUCUUCUGCUAGUCGCCGUCUUCUUACAAGGCAACCCUACAUUGGUUUCAGCGGACGAGGAGUGCAAGUACAGGAUUCCGUACGUACCCUUCUGCAAGGGGUGGAGCUGCAAGGUGGAGUGCUGGCUGGAGGCCAAGCUCUUCCGCGCCCGUCUACAGGAGCACAAGUGCAUCAGGGGCGGCAUCAAGGGCGCCUGCUACUGCCUCUUCUGCGGGAAGCACCUCCAAUGAAAUACAUACAUCAUCCAUCCAUCAUUUGCUCGCUCGCUCGUCCAGUAGGCAUUACCACUAGUUAUUUAUCUCAAACGUUCCUCAUCCACGUUCGCUUAUCCAGCCGAAGCCAAUAAUUCCUUUUCUCAUAAACGAAUUGCGACUAGUUUAUAUAUUAAGGUAGCAGCAGCAGCAGCUCUAGCACGUAGGAGCUUCAGAUGUAGUUAGUCUCAGUUUGGAGAUUGAAUUCUUUUUUUUUUUUGGCUUCCUAGAUAGCUGCUACGACCGUGUAAUGUCUUGCUUCAAUUAAUGUUAUUAUGGAUUAAUAAAAUUGUAUGAUGAUCUCUGCGUAA